RNAcentral lists this transfer RNA (90 nucleotides) under Parathalassolituus penaei. Its description in RNAcentral is "Oceanospirillaceae bacterium G-43 tRNA-Ser". It matches the Rfam family "tRNA". From Rfam's summary of the family: Transfer RNA (tRNA) molecules are approximately 80 nucleotides in length. Their secondary structure includes four short double-helical elements and three loops (D, anti-codon, and T loops). Further hydrogen bonds mediate the characteristic L-shaped molecular structure. tRNAs have two regions of fundamental functional importance: the anti-codon, which is responsible for specific mRNA codon recognition, and the 3' end, to which the tRNAs corresponding amino acid is attached (by aminoacyl-tRNA synthetases). tRNAs cope with the degeneracy of the genetic code in two manners: having more than one tRNA (with a specific anti-codon) for a particular amino acid; and 'wobble' base-pairing, i.e. permitting non-standard base-pairing at the 3rd anti-codon position. The record is from RNAcentral. Lineage: Bacteria; Pseudomonadati; Pseudomonadota; Gammaproteobacteria; Oceanospirillales; Oceanospirillaceae.
GGAGGGAUGGCAGAGUGGUUGAAUGCACCGGUCUUGAAAACCGGCGUCGGUUAAUCCCGAUCUAGGGUUCGAAUCCCUAUCCCUCCGCCA